UUUCCGUAGGUGAACCUGCGGAAGGAUCAUUAAAUAAUUUAGAUGGCCUCCUAGAACUUGUUCUAGUUAGGUUCAUUCUUUUUUUACUGUGAACUGUUUUAAUUUUCAGCGUUUGAGGAAUGUCUUUUAGUCAUAGGGAUAGACUAUUAGAAUGUUAACCGAGCUGAAGUCAGGUUUAGACCUGGUAUCCUAUUAAUUAUUUACCAAAAGAAUUCAGUAUUAUUAUUGUAACAUAAGCGUAAAAAACUUAUAAAACAACUUUUAACAACGGAUCUCUUGGUUCUC
This 285-nucleotide unclassified non-coding RNA is filed under the name plant metagenome. Its description in RNAcentral is "partial contains small subunit ribosomal RNA, internal transcribed spacer 1, and 5.8S ribosomal RNA". The record is from RNAcentral.